Molecule: long non-coding RNA, 627 nt
Organism: Asterias rubens (European starfish)
Lineage: Eukaryota; Metazoa; Echinodermata; Asteroidea; Forcipulatida; Asteriidae
Exons: 3
Source: RefSeq, a predicted model, not a curated record
UUGGAUCCAGUCGCCGGAGCCAUUAUUACGGAACGCAGUAUCUUUCGGCUUUGGCUUGAUUACGUCACAUUCAUGAUCAUAAACUUUUUCUUGCGGGAGCCUUUUAAAAUCCUCGGUUUAAAAAAAGUGACAAAUUCGGCUCUUUUGAGGACAUUUAUUAGACUAGCCUAACAUUAAACAACAGUCUUCGCAUGGGACGCCAUACGGAAACUUUUCCUUCACAUGAUAUCACCAUCACCAACUGAGAAGGCAAACAAAUUUCAUCAAUGAAAUUGAAAUAUCACGAUAUUAAUUAGGAUGACAAGUCCGUAUGCAGUAGUAAUUUUUGAGUCUGAAGGCGAAGAGACUGUGGAGGUUGUUUCUGCAUCGUGGCUUGAAACAAAAAAAUCUUAUUCAAUUUGAGUCGGGUAGCGUGGCCCAGCCGGUUGCAACUGCAUGGGGCGCUGUCAAGGAGACGCAUCAUAAACAUUUAGUGCAUUGCAUCAGGACCCUAGAGUCAAUCAUUCGACCCAUGGCAGCUCUCGAGAGAAGACAAGAAAUGGUGAGUGAUCUGAGUGUAAAUAAUUUGCCAUGUAAUCUGUACUGACUAUCACUAUACAGUCGUUUGACCAGUUAAAGGAACACGUU